This 492-nucleotide ribosomal RNA is filed under the name uncultured bacterium. RNAcentral's name for it is "partial 16S ribosomal RNA". It matches the Rfam family "Bacterial small subunit ribosomal RNA", at positions 28 to 507 of the family's 1533-position model. The record is from RNAcentral.
GAUGAACGCUAGCUACAGGCUUAACACAUGCAAGUCGAGGGGAAACGACAUCGAAAGCUUGCUUUUGAUGGGCGUCGACCGGCGCACGGGUGAGUAACGCGUAUCCAACCUGCCCAUCACUUGGGAAUAACCUUGCGAAAGUAAGACUAAUACCCAAUGAUAUCCCACGAAGGCAUCGGAAUGGGAUUAAAGAUUUAUCGGUGAUGGAUGGGGAUGCGUCUGAUUAGCUUGUUGGCGGGGUAACGGCCCACCAAGGCAACGAUCAGUAGGCGUUCUGAGAGGAAGGUCCACCACAGUGGAACUGAGACACGGCCCAAACUCCUACGGGAGGCAGCAGUGAGGAAUAUUGGUCAAUGGGCGAGAGCCUGAACCAGCCAAGUAGCGUGCAGGAAGACGGCCCUAUGGGGUGUAAACUGUUUUUAUAAGGGAAUAAAGUGGGUCACGUGUGACUUUUUGCAUGUACCUUAUGAAUAAGGACCGGCUAAUUCCGUG